AUUGAACGCUGGCGGCAGGCCUAACACAUGCAAGUCGAACGGUAACAGGAAGCAGCUUGCUGCUUCGCUGACGAGUGGCGGACGGGUGAGUAAUGUCUGGGAAGCUGCCUGAUGGAGGGGGAUAACUACUGGAAACGGUAGCUAAUACCGCAUAAUGUCGCAAGACCAAAGAGGGGGACCUUCGGGCCUCUUGCCAUCGGAUGUGCCCAGAUGGGAUUAGCUUGUUGGUGGGGUAACGGCUCACCAAGGCGACGAUCCCUAGCUGGUCUGAGAUGAUGACCAGCCACACUGGAAUUGAGACACGGUCCAGACUCCUACGGGAGGCAGCAGUGGGGAAUAUUGCACAAUGGGCGCAAGCCUGAUGCAGCCAUGCCGCGUGUAUGAAGAAGGCCUUCGGGUUGUAAAGUACUUUCAGCGGGGAGGAAGGGAGUAAAGUUAAUACCUUUGCUCAUUGACGUUACCCGCAGAAGAAGCACCGGCUAACUCCGUG
This 490-nucleotide ribosomal RNA is filed under the name uncultured bacterium. RNAcentral's name for it is "partial 16S ribosomal RNA". It matches the Rfam family "Bacterial small subunit ribosomal RNA", at positions 30 to 507 of the family's 1533-position model. The record is from RNAcentral.